RNAcentral lists this long non-coding RNA (207 nucleotides) under Sorghum bicolor (sorghum). RNAcentral's name for it is "long non-coding RNA (SBIC_LNC002087)". The record is from RNAcentral. Lineage: Eukaryota; Viridiplantae; Streptophyta; Magnoliopsida; Poales; Poaceae.
ACUAAGCCAACAGUGGCUGAUUUUUGGCCCCUUGUCAACCGAUGUGAAAGGCGUCUGUCAUGCAUUUCAUCUCUUCUGAACCAAGCAAGUAGACUUCAGCUAACAAAUGCAGUCUUUUCAGCUCUACCUACCUUUGCUAUGUGUGCAUUUAUCUUGCCUAAAACACUCAUAAAGCAGAUAGAUAAGUUUCGUAAGCAUUGCCUAUGG